UACAGAGGGGGCAAGCGUUGUUCGGAAUUACUGGGCGUAAAGGGCGCGUAGGCGGCCUGUUAAGUCGAACGUGAAAUCCCUAGGCUCAACCUAGGAACUGCGUCCGAUACUGGCAGGCUCGAAUCCGGGAGAGGGAUGCGGAAUUCCAGGUGUAGCGGUGAAAUGCGUAGAUAUCUGGAGGAACACCGGUGGCGAAGGCGGCAUCCUGGACCGAGAUUGACGCUGAGGCGCGAAAGCCAGGGGAGCAAACGGA
RNAcentral lists this ribosomal RNA (253 nucleotides) under uncultured bacterium. Its description in RNAcentral is "partial 16S ribosomal RNA". It matches the Rfam family "Bacterial small subunit ribosomal RNA", at positions 524 to 776 of the family's 1533-position model. The record is from RNAcentral.